Saccostrea echinata is the source of this 1585-nucleotide long non-coding RNA. RefSeq lists it as uncharacterized. The transcript is spliced from 2 exons. The record is from RefSeq and is a predicted model, not a curated record. NCBI's taxonomy places the organism in Eukaryota, Metazoa, Mollusca, Bivalvia, Ostreida, Ostreidae.
UGCAUUUGAUAAUAUGAUGCCAUAUUUUUUUGUUUUAUGUGCGUACUUUUGUGCAGAGCUUUAUUUUUAAAUUGUAACUUUUUGUGGUUUGUUGGUUUUUGUUUAGAUAUUGUAACAAAGUGGUGUCUCUCAGCAAAGUUGUAUCAAAUUGUUUUGUGGAGGUAUGAAAUCCUUUCAAAAUUAGUCAAUACUAUUUGCUUUGUCAUUGUCAAAAAAUCCAUUGAUUUAGCAAUAUAUUGUAAUUUAUUAUGCAAAUUUUAUAUUUUUACCUCAAUAACAUUAUACAUUAUUUUCAUGAUUAUGUACAAGGGAAACAGUCAAAGUGUUGUUUGGAGGUACAUUGUAGUGGGGAAGACCUGAGAAACUGUGAUUACCCGAGGCCAAGGCCAAGGCAACAGUUUCCCAGGUGUUCCCACUAUCGAGGGAGAACAGUUUGACUGUUGCCCAAUAGUCAUGAAAUAAGUGUAUUAUUACUUAACCUAUUAUAUUAUUCCUUGUAGUAAAAUAUAGGUCUAAUUAUCAAUAGACUUUUUUUUCAUUUAUCUUUUGUUGUAACGUCAGCAACAAUUCAUCAUGUUUAUUUGAACUAAGUACUUAAUUCCUAUGCUGUAUGGUAUUAAGUCAGAAAUAUAGAAGGGUAUAACAUUGUUGUUAAAGCAUUAUGUCAUGAUGACAUAAAUGUUUGACUAUCACUGUCAUCCUGAAGCUUUAACUAACAGUAUUUCUUCUUGUGACUGGUAUACAGUUCAUCUGUUUUACAAUAAGCAAAUUAAACCAUUUGAAAAAAAUAAAGAAAACUCCAACAGCUUUCAAUGCCUAAUAACAAUUUACGAGGGCUAUUAGGUAAAAAUACAAACUGUUAUGCAUCUGAGUACUGUCUGAAAGUGCAAGUCUCCUUAUUAAAGAGGAAAACAGAUUAUACAUAUAAUUGUCUGUCUACAGAGGUCUGAGUGAAGGUCUUUUUGUUAUUGUUGUGUAUUUAUGAUUGCAUGUAAUGCCUGGGUAAUUUUAGUUCUUUAAAUAUAGGUGCAAUUUUGAUUUUUAUUGAUAUUUGAAAUGUCAACACAUGAUGCUGUAUGGGUAGUUUUUACUUUUUUGAGUUUGAUUAUAAGAUGAAUCUCACAAAAAUCUUAGGAAUCUCAAAUACAUGUACAUUGUACACUGUAACUUUAUCAAAGUUUACUUUUUUCAAAAAGGCUAUUUUUAUGUUUGAAUAACAAAAUUGAUCACAGAGUAAUCUUGUUUGUUGAACUGAAGUUAGGUGCAUGCAUACCAAGACAUUGUUACAUUUUUUUUUAUAUCCACCCAAUGCACCCUUAUUUAGCUGUAUGGGAAAUUUCAAAAUUUUGAUAACAACUUACUCAUCAUAAAGAAUAAUUUUUUUUCCAGAAUUUUAAAAUGUGACAAUUAUGAUUUGGAUUAGGUUCGAGGACUUACACAGAUUGACAGAGUUUAAUAAUACAUAUAUCUGUUGUAGAGGAUUACUGAAGCUGUACACACAAUAUUCAUAUGGUAAUACUAUGUAAAACACAAUAAUUGAAUUUGACCAGGUGAUUGUUCAGAAAUAAAAUCAGAUAUAUGUAAA